This 433-nucleotide ribosomal RNA is filed under the name uncultured bacterium. RNAcentral's name for it is "partial 16S ribosomal RNA". It matches the Rfam family "Bacterial small subunit ribosomal RNA", at positions 29 to 507 of the family's 1533-position model. The record is from RNAcentral.
AACGAACGCUGGUGGCAUGCCUAACACAUGCAAGUCGAACGAACCCUUCGGGGUUAGUGGCGCACGGGUGCGUAACGCGUGGGAAUCUGCCCUUUGCUUCGGAAUAACUCAGGGAAACUUGUGCUAAUACCGGAUGAUGUCUUCGGACCAAAGAUUUAUCGGCAAGGGAUGAGCCCGCGUAGGAUUAGGUAGUUGGUGGGGUAAAGGCCUACCAAGCCGACGAUCCUUAGCUGGUCUGAGAGGAUGAUCAGCCACACUGGGACUGAGACACGGCCCAGACUCCUACGGGAGGCAGCAGUGGGGAAUAUUGGACAAUGGGCGCAAGCCUGAUCCAGCAAUGCCGCGUGAGUGAUGAAGGCCCUCGGGUCGUAAAGCUCUUUUACCAGGGAUGAUAAUGACAGUACCUGGAGAAUAAGCUCCGGCUAACUCCGUG